This 830-nucleotide ribosomal RNA is filed under the name uncultured bacterium. RNAcentral's name for it is "bacterial SSU rRNA". It matches the Rfam family "Bacterial small subunit ribosomal RNA", at positions 596 to 1422 of the family's 1533-position model. The record is from RNAcentral.
GAAAGCCCACGGCUCANCCGUGGAGGGUCAUUGGAAACUGUUAAACUUGAGUGCAGGAGAGAAAAGUGGAAUUCCUAGUGUAGCGGUGAAAUGCGUAGAGAUUAGGAGGAACACCAGUGGCGAAGGCGGCUUUUUGGCCUGUAACUGACACUGAGGCGCGAAAGCGUGGGGGGCAAACAGGAUUAGAUACCCUGGUAGUNCACGCCGUAAACGAUGAGUGCUAAGUGUUGGUCUCAUAAGAGAUCAGUGCUGCAGCUAACGCAUUAAGCACUCCGCCUGGGGAGUACGACCGCAAGGUUGAAACUCAAAGGAAUUGACGGGGACCCGCACAUGCGGUGGAGCAUGUGGUUUAAUUCGAAGCAACGCGAAGAACCUUACCAAGUCUUGACAUACUGUGAGGACACAAGAGAUUGUGUUGUUCUGACCUUUGGUUAGACACAGAUACAGGUGGUGCAUGGUUGUCGUCAGCUCGUGUCGUGAGAUGUUGGGUUAAGUCCCGCAACGAGCGCAACCCUCAUAUCUAGUUGCCAGCAGUAAGAUGGGGACUCUAGAUAGACUGCCAGUGAUAAACUGGAGGAAGGUGGGAUGACGUCAAAUCAUCAUGCCCCUUAUGACUUGGGCUACACACGUGCUACAAUGGAUAGGAACAAAGAGAAGCGAGCUCGCGAGAGUAAGCAAACCUCACAAAACUAUUCUCAGUUCGGAUUGUAGUCUGCAACUCGACUACAUGAAGCUGGAAUCGCUAGUAAUCGCGAAUCAGAAUGUCGCGGUGAAUACGUUCCCGGGUCUUGUACACACCGCCCGUCACACCACGAGAGUUUGUAACACCC